CAAACUCUCCCCUGGUUGUGGCUCUGGCUGCGGGCACCACCAGCCACCCCCUCCCCGACCGAUGUCCUCCACAUCUAUGCUGAUAUGCUAGGCAGCUUCUCCAGGGGCCCCACUCCAGGGAGCCCUAACCAAGCAGACAUCUUGAUGGUCUACGCAGCCACUGAAGGCCUGACUGAGCCCGCGGCUACCAAGGGGGUGCUGACCGUGGGUGGCCACACACCAACGCCACCCCUGACCCCAUCCGCUCCUCG
Molecule: long non-coding RNA, 251 nt
Filed under: Balaenoptera musculus (blue whale)
Lineage: Eukaryota; Metazoa; Chordata; Mammalia; Artiodactyla; Balaenopteridae
Description: lncRNA (ENSBMSG00010012777.1)
Source: RNAcentral